AGUGAACGCUGGCGGUAGGCCUAACACAUGCAAGUCGAACGGCAGCACAGAGGAGCUUGCUCCUUGGGUGGCGAGUGGCGGACGGGUGAGGAAUACAUCGGAAUCUACUCAGUCGUGGGGGAUAACGUAGGGAAACUUACGCUAAUACCGCAUACGACCUACGGGUGAAAGCAGGGGACCUUCGGGCCUUGCGCGAUUGAAUGAGCCGAUGUCGGAUUAGCUAGUUGGCGGGGUAAAGGCCGACCAAGGCGACGAUCCGUAGCUGGUCUGGGAGGAUGAGCAGCCACACUGGAACUGAGACACGGUCCAGACUCCUACGGGAGGCAGCAGUGGGGAAGAUUGGACAAUGGGCGCAAGCCUGAUUCAGCCAUACCGCGUGGGUGAAGAAGGCCUUCGGGUUGUAAAGCCCUUUUGUUGGGAAAGAAAUCCAGCUGGCUAAUACCCGGUUGGGAUGACGGUACCCAAAGAAUAAGCACCGGCUAACUUCGUGCCAGCCGCCGCAGUAA
This 506-nucleotide ribosomal RNA is filed under the name uncultured bacterium. Its description in RNAcentral is "partial 16S ribosomal RNA". It matches the Rfam family "Bacterial small subunit ribosomal RNA", at positions 29 to 523 of the family's 1533-position model. The record is from RNAcentral.